Molecule: long non-coding RNA, 385 nt
Organism: Bombina bombina (fire-bellied toad)
Lineage: Eukaryota; Metazoa; Chordata; Amphibia; Anura; Bombinatoridae
Exons: 3
Source: RefSeq, a predicted model, not a curated record
CAGAGCCGUCUGGAUUCUUUUCGUCUGUUGAAGUAUGACAUUAACUCAUGCAGUGAGCUCACAGGACACACGGGAUCCCUACUUGUACAGAGGCACAAUGUAGCUCCCGGCAUGUUCCUGAUGUAUAUUCGUGGGAAAUUGUUAUUUGCAAACUACAUUUUUAAUGGAUAUAGCAGAUCCAUAAAAGAUCUUCAGAAGCAAAUAGCAAAGACUAGGAGUGACCACCAAAUGGGAUACUGUCUUCCUAAGGAUUUCAAAUUCAGGAUAUUCCAUUAAAGGCUGAUACAAUCACAUCAUAUGAAAAACCACUCAUUUUUGGAAUAAGGAAUUAUACUUUUUAUUUUGCAAAUGAAAGAAAAAAAUAAAAUAAAAGUAACAACAUGAA